GAUGAACGCUGGCGGCGUGCCUAAUACAUGCAAGUCGAGCGAACGGACGAGAAGCUUGCUUCUCUGAUGUUAGCGGCGGACGGGUGAGUAACACGUGGAUAACCUACCUAUAAGACUGGGAUAACUUCGGGAAACCGGAGCUAAUACCGGAUGAUAUUUUGAACCGCAUGGUUCACAAGUGAAAGACGGUCUUGCUGUCACUUAUAGAUGGAUCCGCGCUGCAUUAGCUAGUUGGUAAGGUAACGGCUUACCAAGGCAACGAUGCAUAGCCGACCUGAGAGGGUGAUCGGCCACACUGGAACUGAGACACGUUCCAGACUCCUACGGGAGGCAGCAGUAGGGGAUCUUCCGCAAUGGGCGAAAGCCUGACGGAGCAACGCCGCGUGAGUGAUGAAGGUCUUCGGAUCGUAAAACUCUGUUAUUAGGGAAGAACAUAUGUGUAAGUAACUGUGCACAUCUUGACGGUACCUAAUCAGAAAGCCACGGCUAACUACGUG
This 497-nucleotide ribosomal RNA is filed under the name uncultured bacterium. RNAcentral describes it as "partial 16S ribosomal RNA". It matches the Rfam family "Bacterial small subunit ribosomal RNA", at positions 28 to 507 of the family's 1533-position model. The record is from RNAcentral.